This 549-nucleotide long non-coding RNA is filed under the name Drosophila guanche. Lineage: Eukaryota; Metazoa; Arthropoda; Insecta; Diptera; Drosophilidae. The record is from RNAcentral.
AGCCACCUGGCCACCACCAUCCUGUUGCAUCAAUGCUGUAGUAGUGGACGAUGGCAUAAUCAUCAUAAAUGGGCAGCGAGCAACGGUCAGCGUUGACAAUGGACCCCUAAGGACGACAAGAGAGGCCCACCUCAUCACGUUCGAAGACAGAACCGUGAUCAACGGCACCCUGUUCUUAAACCUCAACAAAGCAUUGAGGAAAGUUCCAGGAAUCGUAGCUUCGCCUUUGCUGUCAAUAACGGGGCACGGUGAAAUCCUAAGCCUACCACGACUACAAUCGAUGAACGAGCACAAUCUAAGGGCCAUCCAAGAACUUAGAAGCGACAUGACAUCCGGUGGGUCACCCAAGACCUGGUUCAUUGCGGUCAGCCUCAAGCUCUGUGGCCUUAUCCUGUUGCAUCAAUGCUGGAGUCGAAGGAACUCCUCAAUCAAGUUGCAAAAGGUCAUCAGAGAGAUAGGUAUCGCCGAGGACGGAGAUGAUUUAAGGGGGGAGUAGUUAACACAUAAGCAAUAACAUGGGACACCCUAACUUAGCGCACAAGAAAUGUG